UUUGGUAUUUUCUACGGAUAACACACCAAACCGCCAGCGGCAAGUCUUCACUGUUUUUAACUUGACGUUAGGUGAAGGCUCUUGAAUACUCUCGCUAUCUGGCUGGUGCAAAGUGCAAACGGAAGGACGAGAGGAGAGAAAAGGCUAAGUCUGUGUCCUCAUCCACAACGAUGCGAAGGUACGCGUCGAGAAUUUUCGGGUGGGGUUCGAGUUUCGGAAGAUUGGAUUUUCAUUGGGUCAAUUUGCAUUGGAUGAAACAUAAUUGCAAGAAUUCAUCUUUUUUGUCCAAAAGCAGUAAUACUCAAGCUAUAAUUAAGGAUUAUUCCAACAGUUUCCAGUCAAAGACAUAUGCGUCUUCUUGUGCUAAGAUGUUAGAGGAUCCAUCAAAAGAUAAUCCAGUUUCUGAUAUGCUAGUUGAUUCAUUUGGAAGGAUGCAUACUUACUUGAGGAUUUCCUUGACGGAGCGCUGUAACCUCCGGUGCCAAUAUUGUAUGCCAGCAGAUGGUGUGGAGCUCACGCCAAAUCCUCAGAUUCUUUCAGCAGAUGAGAUCAUUCGCUUGGCAAAUCUAUUUGUAAGCUCAGGCGUCAAUAAGAUUCGGUUGACUGGUGGGGAACCAACAAUUAGGAAAGACAUUGAAGAGAUAUGCUUACAAUUAUCUAAUUUGGAAGGGUUGAAAACACUGACUAUGACAACGAAUGGAAUUACUCUUGCGAGAAAGCUUUCAAAAUUGAAAGAAUGUGGUCUGAAUUCGGUAAAUAUCAGCUUGGACACCUUAGUCCGGGCCAAGUUUGAGUUCAUGACAAGGCGUAAAGGACAUGAAAGGGUUAUGGAGUCGAUCAAUACUGCUAUAGACCUUGGAUGCAAUCCAGUUAAAGUGAAUUGCGUUGUGAUACGUGGCUUCAAUGAUGAUGAAAUUUGUAAUUUCGUAGAGUUAACACGUGAGAAGCCAAUCAAUGUUCGAUUCAUUGAAUUCAUGCCUUUUGAUGGGAACGUCUGGAAUGUCAAAAAACUUGUACCCUAUUCGGAAAUGGUGGAUAGAGUGGCACAACAGUUUAAGGGGAUACAGAGGCUUCAGGAUCAUCCCACAGAUACAGCCAAGAAUUUUAGGCUAGAUGGGCAUCAAGGUACUGUUUCUUUCAUCACAUCAAUGACAGAGAAUUUUUGUGCUGGUUGCAAUAGAUUGCGGCUUUUAGCUGAUGGGAACUUUAAAGUAUGCCUCUUCGGUCCUUCUGAGGUUAGCUUGAGGGAUCCCCUUCGUAAUGGUAUUAAUGAUGAAGGGCUGAAGGAGAUAAUUGGGGCUGCGUACCUGUCUGUUUUAGGUCAAGAGGAAGAAAGCUGCUCACGCUGGAAUGUUUGAUAUUGCGAAAACUGCAAAUAGACCCAUGAUUCAUAUUGGUGGCUAGGGCUUGGUUCUAUCGGGAUCAGUCUUACCAGAAGAGAGCGGAUAUGGAGAUGUUUGUUCCUCUCAUUUGGUUGAUGUCAGGAGAAUAGAAAGCAAAAACACCACUGAAUCUAUUGCUUCGUUCACAUCACAAACAUCGCGUGCAUCAUGUAAGCUUGGAGAUAGAAUUAGAGAUUCAGCAUUGUAAUUAUUGGAUCCAUUAAUUUUCGUUUUUUCAGGAAAAUUAGCUUCAUGUUGUAUCAUAAGGAAGAAAUCAGUUUUUAAUCCUUUUUUCCCCUUUUA
This is an RNA transcript of Nelumbo nucifera (sacred lotus), 1685 nucleotides long. It is a transcript of the gene named cofactor of nitrate reductase and xanthine dehydrogenase 2, with no coding region annotated. The record is from RefSeq and is a predicted model, not a curated record. Lineage: Eukaryota; Viridiplantae; Streptophyta; Magnoliopsida; Proteales; Nelumbonaceae.